GGCCUAACACAUGCAAGUCGAACGGAUCCUUCGGGAUUAGUGGCGGACGGGUGAGUAACACGUGGGAACGUGCCUUUUGGUUCGGAACAACUCAGGGAAACUUGAGCUAAUACCGGAUAAGCCUUUCGAGGGAAAGAUUUAUCGCCAUUAGAGCGGCCCGCGUAGGAUUAGCUAGUUGGUGGGGUAAAGGCCCACCAAGGCUACGAUCCUUAGCUGGUCUGAGAGGAUGAUCAGCCACAUUGGGACUGAGACACGGCCCAAACUCCUACGGGAGGCAGCAGUGGGGAAUCUUGCGCAAUGGGCGAAAGCCUGACGCAGCCAUGCCGCGUGAAUGAUGAAGGUCUUAGGAUUGUAAAAUUCUUUCACCGGGGACGAUAAUGACGGUACCCGGAGAAGAAGCCCCGGCUAACUUCGUGCCAGCAGCCGCGGUAAUACGAAGGGGGCUAGCGUUGCUCGGAAUUACUGGGCGUAAAGGGAGCGUAGGCGGAUAGUUUAGUCAGAGGUGAAAGCCCAGGGCUCAACCUUGGAAUUGCCUUUGAUACUGGCUAUCUUGAGUACGGAAGAGGUAUGUGGAACUCCGAGUGUAGAGGUGAAAUUCGUAGAUAUUCGGAAGAACACCAGUGGCGAAGGCGACAUACUGGUCCGUUACUGACGCUGAGGCUCGAAAGCGUGGGGAGCAAACAGGAUUAGAUACCCUGGUAGUCCACGCUGUAAACGAUGAGUGCUAGUUGUCGGCAGGCAUGCCUGUCGGUGACGCAGCUAACGCAUUAAGCACUCCGCCUGGGGAGUACGGUCGCAAGAUUAAAACUCAUAGGAAUUGACGGGGGCCCGCACAAGCGGUGGAGCAUGUGGUUU
RNAcentral lists this ribosomal RNA (855 nucleotides) under uncultured Caulobacter sp. RNAcentral's name for it is "bacterial SSU rRNA". It matches the Rfam family "Bacterial small subunit ribosomal RNA", at positions 45 to 947 of the family's 1533-position model. The record is from RNAcentral. Lineage: Bacteria; Pseudomonadati; Pseudomonadota; Alphaproteobacteria; Caulobacterales; Caulobacteraceae.